UAGCAAAACCAAAAGUAAGGUAUCCUUUG
This 29-nucleotide non-coding RNA is filed under the name Macaca fascicularis (crab-eating macaque). The record is from RNAcentral. RNAcentral also lists the same sequence under 1 other name. Lineage: Eukaryota; Metazoa; Chordata; Mammalia; Primates; Cercopithecidae.